CCUACGGGUGGCAGCAGUGGGGAAUAUUGCACAAUGGAGGGAACUCUGAUGCAGCGACGCCGCGUGAGUGAAGAAGUAAUUCGUUAUGUAAAGCUCUAUCAGCAGGGAAGAAAGUGACGGUACCUGAAAAAGAAGCUCCGGCUAAAUCCGUGCAAGCAGCCGCGGUAAUACUUAUGGAGCACGCGUUAUCCGGAUUUACUGGGUGUAACGGGAGAGUAGGUGGCAGAGCAAGUCCGAAGUGAAAACGCAAAGCUGAACUAUGGGAAUGCUUUAGAAACUGGUCAGCUAGAGUGCAGGAGAGGGAGGUGGAAGUCUUGGUGUAGCGGUGAAAUGCGUAGAUAUUAGGAGGAACACCAGUGGCGAAGGCGGCUUGCUGGACGGUAACUGACACUGAGGCGCGAAAGCGUGGGGAGCAAACAGGAUUAGAUACCCGUGUAGUC
Molecule: ribosomal RNA, 440 nt
Filed under: uncultured bacterium
Lineage: Bacteria
Description: partial 16S ribosomal RNA
Rfam family: Bacterial small subunit ribosomal RNA
Source: RNAcentral